This is a long non-coding RNA of Cryptomeria japonica (Japanese cedar), 2298 nucleotides long. RefSeq lists it as uncharacterized. The record is from RefSeq and is a predicted model, not a curated record. The transcript has 7 exons. NCBI's taxonomy places the organism in Eukaryota, Viridiplantae, Streptophyta, Pinopsida, Cupressales, Cupressaceae.
UACUUAAUGUAAAUAUUUGCAAUGCAAAAGAAGUAUAAGUAGCCUUCCACCUCCAAUCAGCUGCAGCUUCAAUUCUUUCCGUUCUUUGCAGAUUUUAUAAGAAGGAGCAGCACCUCCGUGGAGAAUUUGUCCGUUGCUGUUGGUGUGCGUGGUCAAGGCGCAAGCUAUAUUCAAGGCUACAAGUAACGAGCUGUCCAGAAAAUCCGAUUGGCCUUCCACGACUGUUUUGUUGAGAUAUGUGAUGCAUCUGUCCGGUCGAGGGAGGUUUAUAACCUGAGAAAUAUCGUUCCCGAAUAUCAAUUUUCUUAGGGGAUACGACGUAAUUGAUGAGAUGAAGAAAAGAUUGGACGCAGUCUGUCCUGAAACAUCAUUGUGCUUAGAGCAAGACAUUCCGUGGUUAUGGGCAAUCUGUAGGUACAACACAACUUCAUUUAGGAGCCUGGCAGAGAGCAAUCUGCCUUGGCCAAAUGAUGAAAUUCACACCAAGAUCCGCACAUUCAGGACGAAAGGGUUUUCAACAAAGGAAAUGGUGAGCCCAGUGCCACUUUUUCCAGGAAAGACAGUCAAAGUGGAAGAGCCGACCCCAGCAUUGAGAGGCAUCUGAACUCAAGGAUCAGCACCUCCGUGGAGAAUGAAUUUGUUCGUUGGUGUUGUUGUGCGUAUUCUGUCGCACUUCGUGCCUGUAGGCACAAGGUGUUAUCAAGGUUAUCCAGGAAAUCCGAUUGGCCUUCACUACUGUUUUGUUGAGGGAUGUGAUGCAUCUGUCCUGUCGAGGGAGACAUUUCACCUGAGAAAAAUCCAUAUCAAAUAUCAAAUCUGUUAGAUGAGAUGAAGCAAAGAUUGGAAGCAGAAACAUCAUUGUGCUUAGUGCAAGACAUUCGGUGCUUAUGGGCAAUCUGCAGGUACAUCACGACCCUGGUAGAGUGCAAUCUGCCUUGGCCGAACGAUGAAAUUCACACCAUGAUCUGCACAUCCGGAGUGAAAGGGUUUUCGGCAAAGGAAAUGCCGCUUUCUCCAGGAAAGACUGUCAAACUUUAACGGUAGUAGGAGAGCCAACCCCACCACUGACGGGCAUUUCCGCAAGCAUCUGAGCUCCCUCUGCAGUCGGCAGGCAGAUCCAGCGGUGGCCUUGGACAAUGGCAGCGCGUCUUCAUUCGAUUCCCACUACUACAGAAAUUUGGAAAGCGGAAAAGGGCUUCUGUAUGUCGACCAGGCGUUAAUGGCGGUGCCCGUCACCCGCAGCAUAGUCGACUUGUACGCUUCCAAUCAGGAACUCUUCUACCGUGAUUUCUCAGUCGCCAUGGUCAAACUUUUCAACCUGAAUGUGCUCACAGGAAAACAGGGGCAGAUAAGAAAAGAGUGCUCUAAGCUUGUCAAUGGCAGCAGGAGCUCAAGAAAGCCCGUCAUUGGCAAAUUGAAGCUGCUCUGGUACAGCCUCACGCUCGCUUCCAGUCGCUCGUCGAACAACCCAUCGUCUACCCCUACAUUGGCUUCAUGUAGCCCACCCUCUAUAGUUGAAGCUUUAUGUCGGCAAGCAGGGCAUGUGUGUCGCCUUUCUUGAGCUCCACCUUCUUCAUUGAUUCAAGUUUUGAGAUUAAUGGCGUUUUGGAAUUGGGUUGAAUGCCCAUGCCCAUGUCCAGAAUUUCUCACGCCCGCUUCCAGUCUCUCAUCGAACAAGAAGAAGCACAAGUAGCCUUCCGCCUCAAAUUGGCUUCCAUUCUUUCCUGCUUCUUGUAACCUCUGCUUCCUCAAGGAAAUGGUGAGCCCACUGCUGCUUUUUCCAGGAAAGACUGUCAAAGUGGGAGAGCAUUGAGAGGCAUCUGAACUCCCUCGUCAUUCGAUUACAGAAAUUUGAAGAGCGGAAAAGGGCUUCUGUAUGUCGACUAGUUCGCUUCCAAUCAGGAGCUAUUCUACCGUGAUUGCUCAAACUUUUGAACCUGAACGUGCUCACAGCAAAACAGGGGCAGAUAAGAAAAGAGUGCUCCAAGCUUGUGAAUAGCAGCAGGAAGUCAUAUGAGGGGGCUCCUUUCAAAGAUCCAGAAAAACCAUUUCCCUUUUAAUACAAUUUCUUUUCUGCCUGUCGAUUCUUUCAUGUACCAUUCUGUAUAACUCUCUUUUGACCAUGGACAGUUCUGUUUAUGAUGUAAACAUUGCUUGACUGUUACACACUUCAAUGAACCAUAUAUUCCUGUUUUUUUUGAAAUACAGGCAGACCAGCUUAAGGAUUUUUCUGGUCUCUUCAUGAAAUUUAAUGUGAUAUUACCAAAAAAAUAAAAAUGCAGUCCUAGGUUGUAUAGA